Molecule: ribosomal RNA, 567 nt
Filed under: uncultured Micromonospora sp.
Lineage: Bacteria; Bacillati; Actinomycetota; Actinomycetes; Micromonosporales; Micromonosporaceae
Description: bacterial SSU rRNA
Rfam family: Bacterial small subunit ribosomal RNA
Source: RNAcentral
UUCGGCUUGGGAUGGGCUCGCGGCCUAUCAGCUUGUUGGUGGGGUGAUGGCCUACCAAGGCGACGACGGGUAGCCGGCCUGAGAGGGCGACCGGCCACACUGGGACUGAGACACGGCCCAGACUCCUACGGGAGGCAGCAGUGGGGAAUAUUGCACAAUGGGCGGAAGCCUGAUGCAGCGACGCCGCGUGAGGGAUGACGGCCUUCGGGUUGUAAACCUCUUUCAGCAGGGACGAAGCGUAAGUGACGGUACCUGCAGAAGAAGCGCCGGCCAACUACGUGCCAGCAGCCGCGGUAAGACGUAGGGCGCGAGCGUUGUCCGGAUUUAUUGGGCGUAAAGAGCUCGUAGGCGGCUUGUCGCGUCGACCGUGAAAACCUGGGGCUCAACCCCAGGCCUGCGGUCGAUACGGGCAGGCUAGAGUUCGGUAGGGGAGACUGGAAUUCCUGGUGUAGCGGUGAAAUGCGCAGAUAUCAGGAGGAACACCGGUGGCGAAGGCGGGUCUCUGGGCCGGUACUGACGCUGAGGAGCGAAAGCGUGGGGAGCGAACAGGAUUAGAUACCCUGGUAG